This 434-nucleotide ribosomal RNA is filed under the name uncultured bacterium. Its description in RNAcentral is "bacterial SSU rRNA". It matches the Rfam family "Bacterial small subunit ribosomal RNA", at positions 957 to 1391 of the family's 1533-position model. The record is from RNAcentral.
GAACGCGAAGAACCUUACCAAGUCUUGACAUCCUUUGACCACUCUAGAGAUAGAGCUUUCCCUUCGGGGACAAAGUGACAGGUGGUGCAUGGUUGUCGUCAGCUCGUGUCGUGAGAUGUUGGGUUAAGUCCCGCAACGAGCGCAACCCUUAUUACUAGUUGCCAGCAUUGAGUUGGGCACUCUAGUGAGACUGCCGGUGACAAACCGGAGGAAGGUGGGGAUGACGUCAAAUCAUCAUGCCCCUUAUGACUUGGGCUACACACGUGCUACAAUGGAUGGUACAACGAGCAGCGAACUCGCGAGGGUAAGCGAAUCUCUUAAAGCCAUUCUCAGUUCGGAUUGUAGGCUGCAACUCGCCUACAUGAAGCCGGAAUCGCUAGUAAUCGCGGAUCAGCACGCCGCCGGUGAAUACGUUCCCGGGUCUUGUACACACC